UGGAGGCCUGAGAAGGUGGAGCAGUCAUGCCAUGCUGCUUCUUACUGGUAUUAACCUCCUACACUAACAAUGCUUGCACUCGGCAUCUUUCCUCUUUUUCUGGGAAAGUAUCUUGUGUUCAGCAC
RNAcentral lists this small nucleolar RNA (125 nucleotides) under Leptobrachium leishanense (Leishan spiny toad). RNAcentral describes it as "Small nucleolar RNA SNORA47 (ENSLLEG00000018843.1)". It matches the Rfam family "Small nucleolar RNA SNORA47". The record is from Rfam by way of RNAcentral. Lineage: Eukaryota; Metazoa; Chordata; Amphibia; Anura; Megophryidae.